This 459-nucleotide ribosomal RNA is filed under the name uncultured bacterium. RNAcentral describes it as "partial 16S ribosomal RNA". It matches the Rfam family "Bacterial small subunit ribosomal RNA", at positions 338 to 795 of the family's 1533-position model. The record is from RNAcentral.
CCUACGGGUGGCAGCAGUGAGGAAUAUUGGUCAAUGGGCGGGAGCCUGAACCAGCCAAGCCGCGUGAGGGAAGAAGGUACAGCGUAUCGUAAACCUCUUUUGUCAGGGAACAAAGGCGGGGACUAGUCCCCGGAUGAGGGUACCUGAAGAACAAGCAUCGGCUAACUCCGUGCCAGUAGCCGCGGUAAUACGGAGGAUGCGAGCGUUAUCCGGAUUUAGUGGGGUUAAAGGGUGCGCAGGCGGCCUGUUAAGUCAGCGGGAAAAGCCCGGGGCUCAACCCCGGCGAGCCGGUGAAACUGGCGGGCUGGAGUUGGAGAGAAGUACGCGGAAUGCGCGGUGUAGCGGUGAAAUGCUUAGAUAUCGCGCAGAACCCCGAUUGCGAAGGCAGCGUACCGGCUCCACACUGACGCUGAGGCACGAAAGCGUGGGUAUCGAACAGGAUUAGAUACCCUUGUAGUC